Molecule: long non-coding RNA, 532 nt
Organism: Girardinichthys multiradiatus
Lineage: Eukaryota; Metazoa; Chordata; Actinopteri; Cyprinodontiformes; Goodeidae
Exons: 3
Source: RefSeq, a predicted model, not a curated record
GUGUUCAUAUUAUACAGCGGUGAAUUUAGAUUCUGAGGAACCAACACACCUACGGAGGUCUGUAGAGAAGGGCUCCUACAGUCCGGCCCCUCCUGCCCGGAGAAUGCAUGUCCCUAAAAGAAAUAUAAUUGAAUGACCUGCACGAUUAUGAGGAAGACUGCCGACUUGACAAGUUGUUCACCUGAGAGUCACUGACAACCUCCACAAGGAAGCUGACUGUUGGAUGAUUUGAGACAAACAGAACAGAGACUACAUUUCCCAGAGUACCCAUGCGCCCGCAGCAGUCGCAGCAGCAAACAGCAAAAGAUUCCUCCGCCUCCUCCUACAAGCAGGGCUGCGGACGUAUCGACGGGCCUUCAGCGACAUACACACCCCCUUAUUAAUAACGCAACUUUUAAUAUUCCUGCCUCCCCUCGAACGCCAAAUAUCCCGUUAUCUGAUACGCAUUAAAAAAAUAUGAGCAAAAGCCAUAGGAAAGAGCCCUUCGUCACCACAGAGCCCGACCCGACAGCACCUCGGUGCUCCGAGCAGA